GGGGCUGAACCGGCUGAGCUUCCCAGGGACGCCCCGACCCAAGCCCUGCAGUCCGCGCGCGUCAGGGGUGUGCGCUGGAGGCCGGAAAGUCGAAUAUCACUUCCCAUCCUGCAUUUGAUGUGCUUUGGGGUUGAAAAAGCCCUUAUGUGGUAAAAAAAAAAAAAAAAAAAAAGUCAGAAAAGUGGCAAAAGUCUUCAACGGCCUGAAAAAGGCCGAGACAGGAACUGAGAAGCUGGCAGUAGGUCCUGCUACUGCUGCAGGGGCGGCGGGCGCCCUGGGUGGGCCACGAGGCAGGGACAGCCGAGGCUCCGCGCUCACCCCACCCGCAAGGGGCCAAGCGCAGACUCAGGGGAGCCAGAGGGGCCGGACCGCUGAGCAAGGGCUGGGGAAGGAUCCCACGCUUGGAUACUUGGGAGUGAAGAUGUGUUAUUUCACCCACCGACUCGUUCCACACGACCAAGGCCUGUGCCUGCCCUGAGGGCGAGUUGGUUGAGCCUUGUACAGACAACUCUCAGAGCGUGGGCCUGGGCCGAACCUUUCCCUGUGAGCAGCAGCAUCAGCGUCUAGAACGACGGCCCUCCCGGUCCACGGUGGAAGGUGCGGAGCUCCCGUGGUGUGCUGGCAGCGAUUCGCAGAAGGGAGAUGGAGGGCCACAGGGCAGGUGCUCGCACGGAGUCAUCGAGGUCCAGGGACACCUUCCUCCCAGGAGUGUGUGUACAGUGAUCACUUGCUGCCAUAACACAGUCACAGAUCUACGUGUGUUCUCUGACUCUCAGCUGGGGCUCCAUCGGGGCCUGCUCUGGGCUCACCUGCGUGACCACUGGGCUCAGCUUCCUCGUCUGAGAAGCAUCAGGACUGGCCUUCCCACCCCCGCGUUCCCAGGGCUUCCACACUCCUUUCUAGCCAUGAGUCAGUCCUCAGUGGAUGACCAGUGGCCUGGGGUGGCCCUCUGAUUCUCUCACCUGUACUCAGGGGGCUGAACCUCACUCUUCUCUGCCAAAACCAACCAAUGAAUAAAUAAACAAACAAGCAUGGAAUUCCUAAAAA
RNAcentral lists this long non-coding RNA (1047 nucleotides) under Homo sapiens (human). RNAcentral's name for it is "non-protein coding lnc-C6orf120-1:8". The record is from RNAcentral. Lineage: Eukaryota; Metazoa; Chordata; Mammalia; Primates; Hominidae.